This 253-nucleotide ribosomal RNA is filed under the name uncultured bacterium. RNAcentral describes it as "partial 16S ribosomal RNA". It matches the Rfam family "Bacterial small subunit ribosomal RNA", at positions 524 to 776 of the family's 1533-position model. The record is from RNAcentral.
UACAGAGGUCUCAAGCGUUGUUCGGAUUCAUUGGGCGUAAAGGGUGCGUAGGCGGACUUGUAAGUCAGUGGUGAAAUCUCUCAGCUUAACUGAGAAACUGCCAUUGAUACUGCAGGUCUAGAGUAUAGAUGACGUUGGCGGAAUAUGACAUGUAGUGGUGAAAUACUUAGAUAUGUCAUAGAACACCGAUUGCGAAGGCAGCUAACGAAACUAUAACUGACGCUGAGGCACGAAAGUGCGGGGAUCAAACAGG